RNAcentral lists this ribosomal RNA (605 nucleotides) under uncultured Filobasidiales. RNAcentral describes it as "eukaryotic LSU rRNA". The stretch from base 157 to 310 matches the Rfam family "5.8S ribosomal RNA". Lineage: Eukaryota; Fungi; Basidiomycota; Tremellomycetes. The record is from RNAcentral.
UGCUUGGUGUCUUCGCUUCGGCAAGGCCCUUGCUUAAAUCACAUCCUAACACCUGUGAACUGUAAGACGUAUGAUGAGGUCUUUGGCCAAGUCAUCGUCUGCCCAUUUUUAACAAACAAUUAAUGUAACAAACGUAGCCUUAUUAUAACCUAAUAAAACUUUCAACAACGGAUCUCUUGGCUCUCGCAUCGAUGAAGAACGCAGCGAAAUGCGAUAAGUAAUGUGAAUUGCAGAAUUCAGUGAAUCAUCGAAUCUUUGAACGCACCUUGCGCUCUUUGGUAUUCCGAAGAGCAUGCCUGUUUGAGUGUCAUGAAAAUAUCAACCUUGACUUGGGUUUUGUGCUCUAGUCUCGGCUUGGAUUUGGGUGCUUGCCGCUUUAACGAGUGGCUCACCUUAAAUGUAUUAGCUGGAUCUGUCUUUGAGACUUGGUUUGACUUGGCGUAAUAAGUAUUUCGCUAAGGACAUUCUUCGGAGUGGCCUCGUUUCUAGGACGCUUGUCCGCUUUCCAAUACAAGUUCCACCUCGUGGACAUGACUUUUUUAUUAUCUGGCCUCAAAUCAGGUAGGACUACCCGCUGAACUUAAGCAUAUCAAUAAGCGGAGGAA